UGGGAGGGUGGGAGGCAGACGUGCCAAGGCACUGCUCUGAGUGAGAGGCUGGAGAAGAAGGCGGCUGCAAGGACAAGCCCACACCAGGACACCUGUGGCUGCGGCCACUGGGUUGUGUCCGGAAACAGACUGCACCCCAGGUGAGCGCGUGUGCACCAGCCUCUCCGCACCGAGGCCUGGCACAGGGCCCGGAGUCAGGCGCCAAUCCAAAUUAGGCUCGAAUUCCCUCUGUAAGCAAACAGCAGGACAGGGAACAGAGGCGCCUGCUAAUUUUGAGUGGAUCAACGCUUUCUCUGCUGGAGAUGGCCUCAAGUGAGCAAGGAUCAAGCUAGGCCCCCUCGUGGAAUCAGCUGGGCGUCCAUGAUGCUGGAGUACUUUUCUAGGACCCGAAGUUGAAACCAGGAGACAAAAGAAACAAAGCUUAUUGUGACCAUCCUGGAGCAUACGUCCCAGUUUGGAAGGUGGUCUGGGACAUAAAAACCCCAUGGACAUUCCUCUAAGCUCUUCCAGAACUUCUGGGGUAUGGCACUCAGAAGAAACUUGGAAGUCACACAUUGAACAUGACAGAGCCAUCGCAGACUUGAGCCACUGCUAGCCUGGAUACCUCACCCGAGGAAUGAGAAAUAGACAUCUUACUCGGCAAGCCAUUGGAUUCCUGAAUUCUUUUUAUUACAGUACUUUACGGUAGUUUGCCCUACGCUUCCUUGACAUGUUUCUU
Molecule: long non-coding RNA, 718 nt
Organism: Mustela erminea (ermine)
Lineage: Eukaryota; Metazoa; Chordata; Mammalia; Carnivora; Mustelidae
Exons: 3
Source: RefSeq, a predicted model, not a curated record